Molecule: non-coding RNA, 3083 nt
Organism: Doryrhamphus excisus (bluestripe pipefish)
Lineage: Eukaryota; Metazoa; Chordata; Actinopteri; Syngnathiformes; Syngnathidae
Source: RefSeq, a predicted model, not a curated record
CUGACCUUCAACCCCAGCAGAGCGCCGGCUUCUUUCGGCAUGGAUGCGCUCCUCUUGCUUAAGGUGAUUCUGCCAAUCAGAUGGUCACCCUCCUUCGAUGGCUGCCAGGUUACAGGAUGCUGCAAGAUAAAACAAAAACGAGGGCCCUCAGUCGUGAGGGAUGCCCUCUGCAACAUCUUCAUGUAACCGUCCGCCGUUUGACGACCCUGCAUUACCUGAAGCUCCAGUGUUCUACUGAAUGAAAAAGCCCCCCGGAUCAUAAUGGAACCCCCCUCCACUGUGCCAGUGUUCAGAUUCCGGGUUUCCCGAGUUUCCCGGCAGAAGUCUGCGAGAGCACACCAGAACUGUGCUCCUCUUUGCCUCUCCUCAGCGGAGUUCCGGCAUGUGUUUGAUCAUCAGAUCAUGAUCAGUGAGGGAGCAGGAGGCUAGCGGCCAUCACCUCACCGUGCGUCACAGCGCUUCAUCGGUGGCAGACCACUCCAUCUCCUGCCGGAUCUUGGCGUGGGAGAGCAGCUGGAAUGAGAAAGCCUUGCAAUGUGUCUAUUUGGCAAGCCUCAAUGCACUCCUGCAGGAUGAAUUGGCCCGGGAUGAGACCCGUACCUUGGAGAUCUACAUCCACUUCGAAAACCACCUGCUCUUCCUCCACCACGGCUGACCUUGACUUCACCUCUCAGGGCACUUCCGGAUCCACUCCUCCCUUCGUCCAGCAUCAAAACAGUGGUGCCCAUGCAACUCGGAGGCAGCUGAGAGGAACCGUAGCCAGGUUUCCAUCUAUUCCUGUACCGUGGGGAGGCGGGGCACAGCAUCUCGACCUGCCCGGUUCGUCCUACAAGUUGUUGCUCGUCAUCCACGGGAGACACGCCAAGGGGAGGCCCCCUCCCUCAUUACUCAGUCUGCUGGCUCAUUAUCGUUGGUUGGACGUCUUCAAAUAGAAGGUACUCUUUCUUGGUCGGGGAAGAAAGAGGGGAAGUGUUCUAUCCAUGCACUCAUUGACUCUGGGGCUGAGCUUUGUCCCUUCGGCCCCAUCAUCCUUGUGACUGCGCCAUUGAUUUGUUGCCGGGAUCUCCGUUCUCUUCCGGCUUUAGAAUAUUUCUCAACCCAAACAACAACGUUGGAGGAAUAUUUCUCAUCCGCCCUGGCCACUGGUCACAUCCGUCCUUCGUCCUCUCCUCUUGCUGCUGUUUUUUUGUCAAGAAAAAAGGUUCCCUUUUGUCAGUCUCCUGAGGCAGACCGAGCCUUAAACACGUUUUUACAUCUGCACCAGUGCUUGUUCAUCCUAACUCUUCUCUCCCAUUUUGGGGCCCAUGCUUUCCCAGCACUCCACUGCUGAUCAGAAGCUGCACCCCUGCGCCUGAGGAAUUAUGACAACCGAGAGUGGAGACACUGGCUGAAGAGCAAGUCACACCCUUUUGUUAUCUACACAGACCUCCAAAACCUCUCCUACAUUCGUUCUGCCCAGCGCCUUAAUCUCGCCAGUCAGAAGGUUUGAUUUCUGCAUUACCUUUGGCAAUGGUUUCCGAAAUUGAAAGCCUGAUGCCUUGUCCAGGAUGUCUUCUCCAGCGGUGGAGGAUUCCAUCCCUGAGACCAUCCUUCUUCAGUCUCGGAUCCUGACGGCCCUGCGGUGGAAAGUCGAGAGGCAUGUGGCGGGGGGCCUCCAAGGAUUCGCUUCCUCCUGCCGCCUGACCCCCUGGCUGCCUCAUUGUCCCAAAAUCCCUUUGCUCAAAAGUCCUGGUCUCAUUGUUCCAAGAUUGCCUGUCACCCAGGAACCAGGUGACGUUCCUCCUUGCUCAGCGUUUAUGGUGGCCAACCCUCCAUGCAGACUCCAAGAGCUUUGUGACGGCUUGCUCCGACUGUGCUUCACCCCCAACCGAUCCCUUCCUGUCUGUGGUUACACAUUUCAUUGGACUUUAUAUUUUAUCGGCCCUUUACCAGGGCCACACUAUCCCGCACCUCCAGGCAUAAUCAAAGGCUAACCACCACCGCAAGCCAGCUCCUACUUACUUACUCCUACUUGUCAUCUCGGGAUGUUUCCCUGGCGCUGGAAUCUAAGAAGCUGGUGCCCAGAUUCAUUGGUCCCUAUGAGGUGGAGUGGCCAGCCUGGUUCCUCUGCAGUCCGUGCAUAGCUCCACCUAACUGUUGAGGUCGACGCAUCGAGAGCAUCUUCGGACGACUUGCCACAUCUGGAGGGAGACGUGUGGAGGUGUGGCUAUCGUCCCGGGACUUCCAACAGAAAGUUGGCACCCAUAUUCGUGGGACCAUACACCACAGACUCCAUCGUCAGUCCAACCUCCAUCAAGCUCUGCUGCCACCCCUACACACACCUGGGUUCAAUCAGCCAUCCUACUUAAGCCCUGCUCACAGCUGCACUAAUUGCCAGAUUGUCCCUCAAGCUUCCACGGUCCUUGUCAGCUGCUCGUCUUCCGCCAUGCACAUGCACCUACUGUUCCCUUGCUUUCUGGCUUUUAUCAUUGUAUUAGUGAGUACUUGCCGUCGGUUUAAGCCACGGUGUUUUGCUGUUUUCAGUUUUGCCUGUUGACCUUUUGUCAGCUGUGUUUUUUGUUACGCAGCCUAGUUUUUGCCUGUAUGCCUUUUGAUGCAGUGUUUUCAGUUUUUGUGUACACCAUUGUGUUAGAGCCCCUGUUGCCACCUUUGUAAAAGCCAUAGCAUUUCAGUAUGUGGAAUCAAACUAUGGAAUGGAUUGAGUAAGGAAGUCAAACAAUGCACAACGAUGAGCCAAUUCAAGAAACAAUACAAGCAGUUGAUGUUUGCUAAAUACAAGGAUGAAGAGUCUUGAACCAGUCAUGAUGUGCUAUAUAUAUCACUAUAUUGACACUUACUAUGGUACCCAUUAUGUCAUUGGAUGCUCAUAUCACCUCGUACUUCGGUAGGAGGUACAUUAUUUAAAAAAUAAAAAUAAAAAAAACCCAUUAAACUGUAUUAUGGAAAGCAGGAAGUGAACAAAUGUAACAGUUACUGAUUGUAAAAGUACCAGAUGGAGGGGUAGGAUUUAAUAACAUUGCUUCUUCCUACUCCUUUUGGACAUGUGGAACUGUGAACUGAUUAUGGGAUGCACUCAAUUGUAA